CUCCCUCACUGCGCGCCAGCAGGACUCCACAUCCCAUCAUUUGAGGGUCACUCAUUGUGUUGUUGGAGCAACGGCAGAAAAUGAAAUAAAAUCAGCCAGCAAAUAUCUUCUGGAAAUACUUUGAUUGCAACAUCAUUUCCAAAAAAGUAUUCCAACAAAUACACCGCCUGUGGGCUUGAGAGGUGGUCUCGCCAGUGAUGACUGCGGUUAUCGCAGUGAACAGAGCGAGGCCAUUCAUCAACUGGCUGCGACACGACCACCUCGGAUCGCACGGAGCCCAAUCAAAGGCUGCAUCAGCUGGUUGCGGAUUCAGCUGGAUGUCUGUGGACUGUCUGGAGACCAGCAAGCAACGGAAGGAACUAUGGAAACUGCACCCUGUGGACUCGAAGGACUCGCAACUCUCGCCAAACACGCGAAAUUGAAUAAGAUGCUUGCAGAUGAAUCUGUCAGGUUAGAUACAACAUGGCCCGAGGUGUGAAGAUAAAUACAGUACACUUGUUGUCAAGUACUAAUUCAUGCUUGCUUAAAUGUAUUGAUCUUAGCUGGC
Molecule: long non-coding RNA, 547 nt
Organism: Gasterosteus aculeatus aculeatus (three-spined stickleback)
Lineage: Eukaryota; Metazoa; Chordata; Actinopteri; Perciformes; Gasterosteidae
Source: Ensembl